Molecule: ribosomal RNA, 253 nt
Filed under: uncultured bacterium
Lineage: Bacteria
Description: partial 16S ribosomal RNA
Rfam family: Bacterial small subunit ribosomal RNA
Source: RNAcentral
UACGGGGGGGGCAAGCGUUGUUCGGAAUUACUGGGCGUAAAGGGUUCGUAGGUGGCUUGUUAAGUCAGACGUGAAAUCCCUCGGCUCAACCGGGGAACCGCGUCUGAGACUGAUGAGCUCGAGUGCAGGAGAGGAACGCGGAAUUCCAGGUGUAGCGGUGAAAUGCGUAGAUAUCUAGGGGAACACCAAAAGCGAAGGCAAGAGACUGGGGCAUUCCUGACACUGAAACAUGAAAGCGUGGGUAGCGAAUGGG